RNAcentral lists this ribosomal RNA (463 nucleotides) under uncultured bacterium. Its description in RNAcentral is "partial 16S ribosomal RNA". It matches the Rfam family "Bacterial small subunit ribosomal RNA", at positions 28 to 507 of the family's 1533-position model. The record is from RNAcentral.
GACGAACGCUGGCGGCGUGCUUAACACAUGCAAGUCGAACGGAAAGGCCUUUUCGGAGGUACUCGAGUGGCGAACGGGUGAGUAACACGUGGGUGAUCUGCCCUGCACUCUGGGAUAAGCCUGGGAAACUGGGUCUAAUACCGGAUAGGACCGCACUUUAGUGUGUGUGGUGGAAAGUUUUUUCGGUGUAGGGUGAGCCCGCGGCCUAUCAGCUUGUUGGUGGGGUAAUGGCCUACCAAGGCGGCGACGGGUAGCCGGACUGAGAGGUUGGUCGGCCACAUUGGGACUGAGAUACGGCCCAGACACCGACGGGAGGCAGCAGUGGGGAAUAUUGCACAAUGGGCGCAAGCCUGAUGCAGCGACGCCGCGUGGGGGAUGACGGCCUUCGGGUUGUAAACUCCUUUCGCCAGGGACGAAGCGUUUUGUGACGGUACCUGGAGAAGAAGCACCGGCUAACUACGUG